RNAcentral lists this ribosomal RNA (394 nucleotides) under uncultured bacterium. RNAcentral describes it as "bacterial SSU rRNA". It matches the Rfam family "Bacterial small subunit ribosomal RNA", at positions 138 to 518 of the family's 1533-position model. The record is from RNAcentral.
UGGGGAAAACCUCGGGAAACUGAGGCUAAUACCGAAUGUAGCGGCCCGCUCGCAUGAGCGGAGCGCCAAAGGGGGCGAAAGCUCCCCCUCUUCGAGGGGCCCGCGCACCAUCAGCUAGUCGGCGGGGUACGGCCCACCGAGGCUUACGGUUAGCUGGUCUGAGAGGAUGGCCAGCCGCACUGGGACUGAGAUACUGCCCAGACUCCUACGGGAGGCUGCAGUCGAGGAUCAUUUGCAAUGGGCGAAAGCCUGACAAUGCGACGCCUGCGUGGAGGAUGAAGGCCCUCGGGUUGUAAACUCCUGUCAGUGGGGGAAAAGGAAAAGGGACCCAACACGUCCCCGAUUUGAUGGUACCCCAAGAGGAAGCGACGGCUAACUCUGUGCCAGCCGCCGC